This 124-nucleotide ribosomal RNA is filed under the name Tetragnatha sp. RNAcentral's name for it is "partial large subunit ribosomal RNA". The record is from RNAcentral. Lineage: Eukaryota; Metazoa; Arthropoda; Arachnida; Araneae; Tetragnathidae.
AAUCAUUAGCCUCUUAAUUAGAGGCUAGAAUGAACGGUUUAACAUUUCCUAAACUUUUUUAAAAAUUAUAAACAAAUUUAUAUUAAAUAUAAAAAUAUAUUUAUAUACUAACUAGACGACAAGA